CUGGCGGCGUGCCUAAACAUGCAAGUCGACGACCGAUUAAGAGCUUGCUCUUAAGAAGUAACGGCGGACGGGUGAGUAACACGUAGGUAACCUGCCUAUAAGACUGGGAUAACUCCGGGAAACCGGGGCUUAAUACCGGAUAACAUUUUGCACCGCAUGGUGCGAAAUUGAAAGGCGGCUUCGGCUGUCACUUAUAGAUGGACCUGCGGCGCAUUAGCUAGUUGGUGAGGUAACGGCUCACCAAGGCGACGAUGCGUAGCCGACCUGAGAGGGUGAUCGGCCACACUGGGACUGAGACACGGCCCAGACUCCUACGGGAGGCAGCAGUAGGGAAUCUUCCGCAAUGGACGAAAGUCUGACGGAGCAACGCCGCGUGAGCGAUGAAGGCCUUCGGGUCGUAAAGCUCUGUUGUUAGGGAAGAACAAGUGCUAGUUGAAUAAGCUGGCACCUUGACGGGCCUAACCAGAAAGCCACGGCUAA
Molecule: ribosomal RNA, 480 nt
Filed under: uncultured bacterium
Lineage: Bacteria
Description: bacterial SSU rRNA
Rfam family: Bacterial small subunit ribosomal RNA
Source: RNAcentral